RNAcentral lists this ribosomal RNA (812 nucleotides) under uncultured bacterium. RNAcentral's name for it is "bacterial SSU rRNA". It matches the Rfam family "Bacterial small subunit ribosomal RNA", at positions 60 to 887 of the family's 1533-position model. The record is from RNAcentral.
AGUCGAGCGAUGAAACUACUUCGGUAGUGAAUUAGCGGCGAACGGGUGAGGAACACGUGAGGAAUCUGCCUUCAACACUGGGAUAACUCCGGGAAACCGGGGCUAAUACCGGAUACGAGCCUUGAUCGCAUGAUCGAGGCUGGAAAGUUUUUCGGUUGAGGAUGACCUCGCGGCCUAUCAGCUUGUUGGUGAGGUAAUGGCUCACCAAGGCGACGACGGGUAGCCGGCCUGAGAGGGCGACCGGCCACACUGGGACUGAGACACGGCCCAGACUCCUACGGGAGGCAGCAGUGGGGAAUAUUGGGCAAUGGAGGAAACUCUGACCCAGCGACGCCGCGUGCGGGAUGAAGGCCUUCGGGUUGUAAACCGCUUUCAGUAGGGAAGAAGCGAAAGUGACGGUACCUACAGAAGAAGCACCGGCUAACUAUGUGCCAGCAGCCGCGGUAAUACAUAGGGUGCAAGCGUUGUCCGGAAUUAUUGGGCGUAAAGAGCUCGUAGGUGGUUUGAUACGUCGGGUGUGAAAUUCAGGGGCUCAACCCCUGACCUGCAUUCGAUACGGUCAAGCUAGAGUUUGGUAGGGGAGACUGGAAUUCCUGGUGUAGCGGUGGAAUGCGCAGAUAUCAGGAGGAACACCGAUGGCGAAGGCAGGUCUCUGGGCCAAUACUGACACUGAGGAGCGAAAGCGUGGGGAGCGAACAGGAUUAGAUACCCUGGUAGUCCACGCCGUAAACGGUGGGCGCUAGUUGUGCGAACCUUCCACGGUUUGUGCGACGCAGCUAACGCAUUAAGCGCCCCGCCUGGGGAGUACGAUC